UACACUUAUGUAUGUUUUUGUUUAACUUGUGGACAAAGACUUAUGGAUAGAUGCAAAAAAUAAAUCCUCUUUUGCAACCUAGAAUUCAUUGUUCAGUGGGAGUUUUGAUACAUGUAAAAAGGAAUAUU
Molecule: small nucleolar RNA, 128 nt
Filed under: Saimiri boliviensis boliviensis (Bolivian squirrel monkey)
Lineage: Eukaryota; Metazoa; Chordata; Mammalia; Primates; Cebidae
Description: Small nucleolar RNA SNORA40 (ENSSBOG00000004437.1)
Rfam family: Small nucleolar RNA SNORA40
About the family: The snoRNA ACA 40 belongs to the H/ACA family of snoRNAs and guides the pseudouridylation of 28S rRNA subunit at position U4565. NB This family has a high threshold value to exclude a large number of closely related sequences that do not appear to have conserved H and ACA boxes, and may be pseudogenes.
Source: Rfam by way of RNAcentral